CAGCCGCCGCGGUAACACCAGCCCCUCGAGUGGUGGGGACUAUUAUUUGGCCUAAAGCGUCCGUAGCCGGCUGCAGCCGUCACCCGUUGAAUCCAGCGUCUCAAGCGUUGGACUGCGGGUGAUACCCUGCAGCUUGAGGGUGGGACAGGUUAGCGGUAUUCCCGGGGUAGGGGCGAAAUCCUUUGAUCCCGGGAGGACCACCAGUGGCGAAGGCUGCUGACUAGAACACGCCUGACGGUCAGGGACGAAAGCUGGGGUAGCGAACCGGAUUAGAUACCCGGGUAGUCCCAGCUGUAAACGAUGCACGCUAGGUGUUGGGUCGGCCACGCGCCGCCCCAGUGCCGCAGGGAAGCCGUUAAGCGUGCCGCCUGGGGAGUACGGCCGCAAGGCUGAAACUUAAAGGAAUUGGCGGGGGAGCAC
This 420-nucleotide ribosomal RNA is filed under the name uncultured crenarchaeote. RNAcentral describes it as "bacterial SSU rRNA". It matches the Rfam family "Archaeal small subunit ribosomal RNA", at positions 459 to 879 of the family's 1478-position model. The record is from RNAcentral. Lineage: Archaea; Thermoproteati; Thermoproteota.